CCUACGGGUGGCAGCAGUGAGGAAUAUUGGUCAAUGGCCGGAAGGCUGAACAAGCCAAGCCGCGUGAAGGACGAAGGUGCCACGCAUUGUAAACUUCUUUUGUCAAGGGACAAAAUCAGGCUCGAGAGCCUGACCGAGGGUACUGGAAGAAAAAGCCUCGGAUAACUCCGUGCCAGCAGCCGCGGUAAUACGGAGGAUGCGAGCGGUAUCCGGAUUUAUUGGGUAUAAAGGGUGCGUAGGCGGGCUGUUAAGUCAGCGGUAAAAUCCCGGGGCUCAACCCCGGGGAGCCGUUGAAACUGGCGGUCUUGAGAUGUCGAGAGGUAUGCGGAAUGCGCAGUGUAGCGGUGAAAUGCUUAGAUAUUGCGCAGAACUCCGAUUGCGAAGGCAGCAUACCGGCGGCGAUCUGACGCUGAGGCACGAAAGCGUGGGUAUCGAACAGGAUUAGAUACCCGAGUAGUC
Molecule: ribosomal RNA, 459 nt
Filed under: uncultured bacterium
Lineage: Bacteria
Description: partial 16S ribosomal RNA
Rfam family: Bacterial small subunit ribosomal RNA
Source: RNAcentral